GACAGAGGGUGCAAACGUUGUUCGGAAUUACUGGGCGUAAAGCGAGUGUAGGCGGUUCGAUAAGUCGGAUGUGAAAGCCCCGGGCUCAACCCGGGAAGUGCACUCGAUACUGUCGAGCUAGAGUAUCGGAGAGGUUGGUGGAAUUCUCGGUGUAGAGGUGAAAUUCGUAGAUAUCGAGAGGAACACCGGUGGCGAAGGCGGCCAACUGGACGAAUACUGACGCUGAGACUCGAAAGCGUGGGGAGCAAACAGG
Molecule: ribosomal RNA, 253 nt
Filed under: uncultured bacterium
Lineage: Bacteria
Also listed under: 1 other name
Description: partial 16S ribosomal RNA
Rfam family: Bacterial small subunit ribosomal RNA
Source: RNAcentral